UACAGAGGCCUCAAGCGUUGUUCGGAUUCAUUGGGCGUAAAGGGUGCGUAGGUGGCGUGGCAAGUCUGAUGUGAAAUCCCGAGGCUCAACCUCGGAACUGCAUUGGAUACUGCCAUGCUAGAGCACUGGAGAGGAGACUGGAAUUUACGGUGUAGCAGUGAAAUGCGUAGAUAUCGUAAGGAAGACCAGUGGCGAAGGCGAGUCUCUGGACAGUUGCUGACACUGAGGCACGAAGGCUAGGGGAGCAAACGGG
This 253-nucleotide ribosomal RNA is filed under the name uncultured bacterium. RNAcentral's name for it is "partial 16S ribosomal RNA". It matches the Rfam family "Bacterial small subunit ribosomal RNA", at positions 524 to 776 of the family's 1533-position model. The record is from RNAcentral.